UACGAAGGGUGCAAGCGUUACUCGGAAUUACUGGGCGUAAAGCGCGUGUAGGCGGAGAUGCCAGUCCGGCCUGAAAGCCCUCGGCUCAACCGAGGAUCCGGGUCGGAAACUGCAUUUCUUGAGGGCGGAAGAGGCGUGUGGAAUUCCUGGUGUAGCGGUGAAAUGCGUAGAGAUCAGGAGGAACACCCAUGGCGAAGGCAGCACGCUGGUCCGACCCUGACGCUGAGGCACGAAGGCCAGGGGAGCAAACGGG
RNAcentral lists this ribosomal RNA (253 nucleotides) under uncultured bacterium. Its description in RNAcentral is "partial 16S ribosomal RNA". It matches the Rfam family "Bacterial small subunit ribosomal RNA", at positions 524 to 776 of the family's 1533-position model. The record is from RNAcentral.